Drosophila biarmipes is the source of this 933-nucleotide long non-coding RNA. RefSeq lists it as uncharacterized. The record is from RefSeq and is a predicted model, not a curated record. The transcript has 4 exons. NCBI's taxonomy places the organism in Eukaryota, Metazoa, Arthropoda, Insecta, Diptera, Drosophilidae.
GGAACAUGUCCGAACGCAAAAGGCUUUUUUGUUUUUUUUUUUUUGUGCAUAAACUUGUAUGCUGUUGUCGAAGUCAGCAGAGAAUUCGAAGAAGCGUAGAAGAGUGGCGACGAAAGCGGUCCGACAAAACUAGAGGCAGAUCUUCGGAGAUUAUCCUCUCUUUCUGUGUCUUAUAAUCUGCCUGCCGGCGGCUCUCAGAAAGAAAACCUUCGAAGAAGAAGACUUGGUGUAUGCUGUUUAAGUUAUGAAAGGAGAAGCAGGAGUUUGUUUAAAUUGUGCGCUGCAACGCAUUUUCAUUUAUUAAUAAAUGUGAUGAUUUUGAGAAUAAGUCAAGCUUUUCAACACAAUCUAGAAAGUUCUGGUUGUGUUACCCGAAGGUGGCAUGAAUAAAUGUUUUGUGCCAGUAAAAAUCCCGCAAAGGGCUUUACAUAGUUCGAAAAGCGUUGGACAUGGAUUCGGAGGACCCGGACAAAUGUUUAAAAAAAGCAAUGACAAACAUUAAAAACAACUUAUAAACAAAAAAAAAAACAAAAACAUAGAUUUAGAUCGUUUCAGCCUUCUUCUAAAACAGGUUGACUUCCGUAUCAGAUGAGUUUUUCUAUUGAGAACAAGGAAGAACACUAUAGUAAAUUUACUCGACGCAUUACUAUGCGCAAGGGAGGAAAUAGAAAAUGGAAAGCAGCAAAGCGAUAUUAAAAAGCGCAACUUACCCGCUAUUUCAGUAUUUGUCAUGUGGGUGCAAGACAGUUUUAAACGUUUUAGCCGUUUGUGGUCGUUAGAGUGUGCAUGGCAAUAUUUGGGUCAAUCGAAGCCUAUAAAUCUGUAUGCCAAGUCAAAAUCUUCUAGCCUUAGUUUCCGAGAUCUCACGUUCAUACGGACAGACCGACAUAAUUAGAUCGACUCGGCUAAUGAUCCUGAUCAAGAAUAUAUGUA